RNAcentral lists this small RNA (67 nucleotides) under Gracilibacillus halotolerans. Its description in RNAcentral is "Bacillaceae-1 RNA". It matches the Rfam family "Bacillaceae-1 RNA". The record is from Rfam by way of RNAcentral. Lineage: Bacteria; Bacillati; Bacillota; Bacilli; Caryophanales; Bacillaceae.
CUUUUAGGACAUUCGGCUAUUACCGCAACGUCAUGUUGCAACGCCGAACUGAAUUACAUCCUGUAAU